This 309-nucleotide ribosomal RNA is filed under the name Triticum aestivum (bread wheat). RNAcentral describes it as "partial small subunit ribosomal RNA". The record is from RNAcentral. Lineage: Eukaryota; Viridiplantae; Streptophyta; Magnoliopsida; Poales; Poaceae.
AUGAAGGGCCUCAUAGUUCGGCUGUGGCCUAAGGAGGCUAUGCCCGGGAGCUAUUUCGGCCUGGUGCGGCGGCUGGUGGACGCGUGCCCGUGGGUUGAAGUUAUCGAGCACUCCGCCUGUAUCAAGGGUGCGUGUGGGGCCCUUGCCCAUGCAAAGGUGCACUGGGGAAAGAUGGAUGCCCAGAAGCUUGUGACGGACCCCCCACCAGAGGGCAAGGAGCAUCGCACGCCGGAGCUGUAUUAUAGGAGUGUGCUGAAGGGCGCUCGCACUAUUGCGGGUGAGUGCUCCAAAGAUGUAAUAUUUGAGUAG